Long non-coding RNA from Prunus dulcis (almond), 235 nucleotides. RefSeq lists it as uncharacterized. The transcript has 3 exons. NCBI's taxonomy places the organism in Eukaryota, Viridiplantae, Streptophyta, Magnoliopsida, Rosales, Rosaceae. The record is from RefSeq and is a predicted model, not a curated record.
AAAUUCUCCUUCGUUUCGACACCAAAUCGAUCGAGUAAGGCAUCAGAGGUCCAGCCGACUAGCAGGAGAAACCUUCGGAGGGUCGAAGUAGUUCGAACCAGCUGCCGUAGAAGAACGAAGGAAACCAUUCGGGCCAUCAGCUUAGUUCCCGACCCACCACUAAAGUGUAGGAGUUCGUUGUAACUUCUUUGUAAUCUUGUAAAUAUGCUCUGAUAUCUCGUUGAACUUGAGAACC